CUUGUAUACGUACCUUGUUUGCGUGUAUCUAUUAAUUUUUAAGGACGUUGGGUACAUACGAGGACGUUGUGGAAGAUCGGGUUAAAUGGAAGUUUAGGACGAAAGUGGCUGAACUCAAAUAGUUGGAAUAAAAACGAAAUAGAAGAAGAUUAAUUCACAUUUAUUGUGUAAUCAUGAAAUUUAUUAAUAUUGUUACGGGGAAAACGGUUUCGAGAGGAAAACUAAACUCUUUUCGUAAAAUAUAUAUAUAGAUUUAGUAAAACUACCGAACUUUCAGCACAUAUAGACAA
Non-coding RNA from Cinara cedri, 290 nucleotides. The record is from the annotation of a GenBank genome assembly. Lineage: Eukaryota; Metazoa; Arthropoda; Insecta; Hemiptera; Aphididae.